RNAcentral lists this ribosomal RNA (497 nucleotides) under uncultured bacterium. RNAcentral's name for it is "partial 16S ribosomal RNA". It matches the Rfam family "Bacterial small subunit ribosomal RNA", at positions 28 to 507 of the family's 1533-position model. The record is from RNAcentral.
GAUGAACGCUGGCGGCGUGCCUAAUACAUGCAAGUCGAGCGAACGGACGAGAAGCUUGCUUUUCUGAUGUUAGCGGCGGAUGGGUGAGUAACACGUGGAUAACCUACCUAUAAGACUGGGAUAACUUCGGGAAACCGGAGCUAACACCGGAUAAUAUUUUGAACCGCAUGGUUCAAAAGUGAAAGACGGUCUUGCUGUCACUUAUAGAUGGAUCCGCGCUGCAUUAGCUAGUUGGUAAGGUAACGGCUUACCAAGGCAACGAUGCAUAGCCGACCUGAGAGGGUGAUCGGCCACACUGGAACUGAGACACGGUCCAGACUCCUACGGGAGGCAGCAGUAGGGAAUCUUCCGCAAUGGGCGAAAGCCUGACGCAGCAACGCCGCGUGAGUGAUGAAGGUCUUCGGAUCGUAAAACUCUGUUAUUAGGGAAGAACAUAUGUGUAAGUAACUGUGGACAUCUUGACGGUACCUAAUCAGAAAGCAACGGCUAACUACGUG